ACGUAGGGUGCGAGCGUUAAUCGGAAUUACUGGGCGUAAAGCGUGCGCAGGCGGUGAUGUAAGACAGAUGUGAAAUCCCCGAGUUCAACCUGGGAACUGCAUUUGUGACUGCAUCGCUGGAGUGCGGCAGAGGGGGAUGGAAUUCCGCGUGUAGCAGUGAAAUGCGUAGAUAUCUGGAGGAACACCGGUGGCGAAGGCGACAUCCUGGACCGGUAUUGACGCUGAGGCGCGAAAGCCAGGGGAGCAAACGGGA
This 253-nucleotide ribosomal RNA is filed under the name uncultured prokaryote. Its description in RNAcentral is "partial 16S ribosomal RNA". It matches the Rfam family "Bacterial small subunit ribosomal RNA", at positions 525 to 777 of the family's 1533-position model. The record is from RNAcentral.